AUUGAACGCUGGCGGCAGGCCUAACACAUGCAAGUCGAGCGGCAGCGGAAAGUAGCUUGCUACUUUGCCGGCGAGCGGCGGACGGGUGAGUAAUGUCUGGGAAACUGCCUGAUGGAGGGGGAUAACUACUGGAAACGGUAGCUAAUACCGCAUGACCUCGCAAGAGCAAAGUGGGGGAUCUUCGGACCUCACGCCAUCGGAUGUGCCCAGAUGGGAUUAGCUAGUAGGUGAGGUAAUGGCUCACCUAGGCGACGAUCCCUAGCUGGUCUGAGAGGAUGACCAGCCACACUGGAACUGAGACACGGUCCAGACUCCUACGGGAGGCAGCAGUGGGGAAUAUUGCACAAUGGGCGCAAGCCUGAUGCAGCCAUGCCGCGUGUGUGAAGAAGGCCUUAGGGUUGUAAAGCACUUUCAGCGAGGAGGAAGGCAUCACACUUAAUACGUGUGGUGAUUGACGUUACUCGCAGAGGAAGCACCGGCUAACUCCGUGCCAGCAGCCGCGGUAAUACGGAGGGUGCAAGCGUUAAUCGGAAUUACUGGGCGUAAAGCGCACGCAGGCGGUUUGUUAAGUCAGAUGUGAAAUCCCCGCGCUUAACGUGGGAACUGCAUUUGAAACUGGCAAGCUAGAGUCUUGUAGAGGGGGGUAGAAUUCCAGGUGUAGCGGUGAAAUGCGUAGAGAUCUGGAGGAAUACCGGUGGCGAAGGCGGCCCCCUGGACAAAGACUGACGCUCAGGUGCGAAAGCGUGGGGAGCAAACAGG
This 759-nucleotide ribosomal RNA is filed under the name uncultured Enterobacteriaceae bacterium. Its description in RNAcentral is "bacterial SSU rRNA". It matches the Rfam family "Bacterial small subunit ribosomal RNA", at positions 28 to 776 of the family's 1533-position model. The record is from RNAcentral. Lineage: Bacteria; Pseudomonadati; Pseudomonadota; Gammaproteobacteria; Enterobacterales; Enterobacteriaceae.